UCCCCUCUCCAGUGAGAAUGCCCUUAAUAUCAACCCUGAUCAAGAGGAGCAGGUAUUAAGCACACUAACUAGUAGCUCAAGAUGCCUUGCUUAACCACACCCCCAAGGGAUACAGCAGUGAUAAAAAUUUAGCAAUGAACGUAAGUUUGACUAAGCUAUGCUACUCUAGGGUUGGUAAAUUUCGUGCCAGCCACCGCGGUCAUACGAUUAACCCAAACUAAUAAACACCCGGCGUAAAGCGUGAUUUAAAAUCAAAUAACAACUAAGCUGUAAAAAGUAAUAGUUGCAAACAAAAAUAAACGACGAAAGUGAUUUUAUAACCCUCGAACUCUCGAUAGCUAAGAUCCAAAUUCUGGGAUUAGAUACCCCACUAUGCUUAGCCUUAAACCUAAAUAAUUUUAUAACAAAAUUAUUCGCCAGAGAACUACAAGCCAGAGCUUAAAACUCAAAGGACUUGGCGGUGCUUUAUACCCGCCUAGAGGAGCCUGUUCUAUAAUCGAUAAACCCCGAUAAACCUUACCACUCUUUGCCAACUCAGCCUAUAUACCGCCAUCUUCAGCGAACCCUAAAAAGGAGCAAAAGUAAGCUCAAUCAUCACCAUAAAAACGUUAGGUCAAGGUGUAGCCUAUAGAGUGGAAAGUAAUGGGCUACAUUUUCUACUUUAGAAUACACGAAAGCCCCUAUGAAACUCUAGAGACCAAAGGAGGAUUU
This 711-nucleotide ribosomal RNA is filed under the name Lepus townsendii (white-tailed jackrabbit). Its description in RNAcentral is "partial 12S ribosomal RNA". It matches the Rfam family "Bacterial small subunit ribosomal RNA", at positions 302 to 1333 of the family's 1533-position model. The record is from RNAcentral. Lineage: Eukaryota; Metazoa; Chordata; Mammalia; Lagomorpha; Leporidae.